Long non-coding RNA from Bombyx mori (domestic silkworm), 943 nucleotides. RefSeq lists it as uncharacterized. The transcript is spliced from 3 exons. The record is from RefSeq and is a predicted model, not a curated record. Lineage: Eukaryota; Metazoa; Arthropoda; Insecta; Lepidoptera; Bombycidae.
AAACGUUUUGACAGUCCGUUUGCCAAUAAGCAGUGAUCAAUUUCUUUUGUUUGUUUUUCUAUUGUUUACCUACUAUAUUAGAUGAUGACUUACCUCCAAAACGCUUUAAAACUUUCGUUUAUAAUUCUAAGUGUGUUUAUAAUUAAAGAGCUACAGUGAAAUAAAAUGAAUUCUUCAAGAAAGGCAGCACCCAUGACAAAAGAUGAGACGAUGAUUCUAGCAGAACUUGUGGCGGCAUUUCAAUAAUAAGGCAACAAAUGCCACAAACAAUAAAUUGAAGGAGCAGGCUUGGCAAACCCUUGUAAAUGAUUUUAAUUCGUCGAUUCGUCGUUUCCCACGAACUCCAUCGCAGCUUCGACUAAAAUGGGAAAAUUUAAAGAACGCUACGGCAACAUAAGAAACAACCUUAGUAAGGCUGGAGGUGGUAAGGAUUGCAGAUGAAAUUUUGGAUAAAGCAUGCACAUUGUUGUAGGUCACAUAUAAUAUUUUUAACACUUUUACAGCCAAGCGGAAACAAGAUGGAAGAAAAGAAAUGCAAGGCUAGCAUAGGGACAAUGCAUUAGCAGAAUAUCUAAUAGCAAAAAAGAGACUUGACUUGGAAAAUAAAGAAGAGGAGAUCGUUGUAGCAAAAGUUGUUAGAUUUAGAUAAUUUAAAAAAUUAAAAAUUACUUAAAAGGAAUAUUAAAUUUCAUAAAUUAAGUAGGCAAUAAUAAUUUUAUGUUAGAUAGUUUUUUAAGUAGAUGUACAAAUUCUAAAUUAAAUAUCUUGCAUGUACUAACUACCAUGUAAUUAUCAUUUUGGAAAAUAAAAAAUAGUCAAAUUAUCUUUGGAGUUUAUUUUAUAAAUUAUCUUUGGAAGCAAUUAUUUAUAAGUACAUAGUUGUAUUUCAGAUGUAAGUUUUGAAAAUUUGUUACGAACAAUUAUAUUAUUUUCCUGUAAUGUA